GGGGAUGUUUUGGAUUCGCUGUGAUUUAUGAAGAUUUGUAAGCAUGUGGUGGGAUUAUCGGCCACCUAAAAAACGUCGAGGUUUAUUAAAUUAAACGCAGAAGAAAACAAUGAUUAUGCAUUUUUAGCAGCAAGAAAUAAUUCUUGCGCUAAUUAUGCUUUCGCUUGCUAAUAAUAAUUUAAGCGACUCAUCCCUACUGAUUUCCCAUGUCAGUAGGCUAUGAGCUAAUUUCAGUGGGAUAUAUUAUUAAUGUACUACUCUAACAUUAAUAAAGAAUUCAAUAGAGUGUAGUUAGUUUUUGGUUUGUCAUUUCGCUUAGGGCUAAUGAAGAUUUAGAUUUGACUAAACAUGUAGAAAGCAAAUUGGAUUGGGUUGCAUACACGGGUUCGAGUCCCGUCAUCUCCACCA
This 408-nucleotide transfer-messenger RNA is filed under the name Anaeroplasmataceae. RNAcentral's name for it is "Anaeroplasma sp900767915 Standard tmRNA". It matches the Rfam family "transfer-messenger RNA". From Rfam's summary of the family: Bacterial tmRNA, also known as 10Sa RNA or SsrA, is named for its dual tRNA and mRNA-like properties. Its role is to liberate the mRNA from a stalled ribosome. Lineage: Bacteria; Bacillati; Mycoplasmatota; Mollicutes; Anaeroplasmatales. RNAcentral also lists the same sequence under 1 other name. The record is from RNAcentral.